Molecule: long non-coding RNA, 2507 nt
Organism: Cephus cinctus (wheat stem sawfly)
Lineage: Eukaryota; Metazoa; Arthropoda; Insecta; Hymenoptera; Cephidae
Exons: 5
Source: RefSeq, a predicted model, not a curated record
GACGGGCCAGACGUAAACACGAGGUACUUCUCCAAACGUAUAAAUAAUGCCUCUCGUCGUAUUAAUCGGUCGCUACGCCAGUCAUCUCGGUUCUACACGUGAAUUAUGUUCCCGACGUCUUUAACCAUUUCUGUGGAACUUACAUCAAGUAUACGACGCUGCUGUUACCGCCGAUUAAAUUUACCGUGUUCUCUGUGGACAAGGUAACGGAUGCGAAUUGCAACAGACUCACCGUGAAGUUGCGUUUGGAUUUACAUAACUUAUUCAGCUGUUUAUAGCUUUGCCAUAGACUCGAUGGAAAUUGUAAGAGUGCUUAUGCCGCGCGAGACAAUGCUGUGGAAAUUAUAGGUUAGGAGAGGCAGUGUGUAUAUUUUAUAUACCAGAGGUUAUUCAGCCAAAACGGACCACCACAUAGUUUUACCAUAGGACUGAAAUGGGCGCGUUAACUUCAGGUGCGUAAUUCACGUGCGGGAUCGUUUAAGAAAAUUGCUUGGCUGUUUGUACCAGUAAUCGAUGACGUCACAGAUCGAAAGACCCCAACCUAAUCAAAUUGUACGUCAGACUACAUACUUUCUCGCAGAGUAUAUAUCAAGCACUCGGUGAAUUUUAAAACUGCUCGUAAGGUCAGUUUAUAUAUGGAAGAUCCUUGGACCCUUAAUCAAUGCUACCGCGAGGAAUUUCAAGUCACGAGACAUCGAAGACGGCAAAUGGAAAAUACGAAAUUUCGAUUUCGUCCCUGGUAAAGGAAGGGUACAGGCUGGUAAUAGGGAUCUCGUUGCUUCUCGACCAAGUGGGUUGUACCGCUUUAAAUCUUUUUAGAAGCACCGGGGUACAUUAACGCUGGAUAUCCAUCCCCUUAACCCACUUGGCUCGAGUGUUCGAAUUCUUAAUGAAUUUUCACUGGGAAAGUAAUAGAGUACGGGCGAAUGAUGUACGUGGAAAUAUGAUGAAUACGGUGGAAAAAAAAGAAGGGAUGCCACGGAUUGCGGAAUAAACAAGAUGACUGAUUCGAUUUUGAAUUGGCUGGCUCUUCGACUUGGACUGUUGCACAAUUGGACUUUACGUCAGGAAACAAUGGUCUCUAUGGACCGGGAGAAUGAAGUUUCAACUGGGUGUAGGGACUGCCAGGUAUAUGGAGGCUGUAGAGAACCAGGCGCAUCAUAAAUCACGACUACGCUUCCAGUAUGGCGUUAGAGCUCGGCCUUUUCGGAGGGUCUCAAACUCUGAAUGCCACCAUCCGGGCAGGUGUAGCCCGUCAUUUCUUAACCAUUCCACUUCACGGUUCUAUACCUUUAAAAGUUCUUCAAAGGAAACAGCCUUGAGAUUUCAUUGGAUGCAUGCGCGAGUUUGAUAGAGGACAAAAAAAUCAAGUUUGCGAAAUGUCACAUGAAUUGAUCACUAAAUAAGACUGCCUGACGUGAUACCAACAAUUAAAUGUCAUGAUAAAAAAAAAUUGUUUUCUUUCCAAACGUAGCUUUAAUUAGUGAUAAAUUUAUUUUUAUAUUUCAAAUUACUCGUGGGAUUCUUUUUUUCUACUUUAAGAACAUUCAAAUGUUUAAUAUAGUUUUACACGGUAGCUAAUGAUUCUAAUUUAACUAUUUCUUAGGUGGUUAAGUUAAGUAGUCGAGUGUUGUGUAAAUUAAUGAUGACGUUCAAAAGACUCGACGACUAAGUUGAAUUUUUAUGGCCGUAUAAGGAAGAUAAGCCAGAGAAGCGUAAUCGUUUGAUCGGCGAAGGUAUCUGUGAUUUUAAAGAUAAUUGCUUAAUUAAAAUGCUCGUAAGCCAACAAGGCAGCCACGGGUAUGACCGGCGGUCACUUUUAUUAUCCCGCAGUCAUUUUCAUCGUGUAUCCGCUCUUUUCUUUUUUUAUUAAAAUAUUUAUGUUUACUGUCACCCGUAACGACGGAUGCAUUCAUAAAUAAAUAAAUCGUCUCGUUAAAACUAAAGAUUCACCAGAAAAAAAAUGGGUAUAAAAUAUUUCUAAAAAUUCGAAUUUACAUCAAUCCCAAAGAAUUAAGGACGACCAAUAAAACUGCCUGCGAUACAAAAACGCAGGGCAAUUAAAACUUCGUAAAGUGCAAACGAGCAUAAGUUAGUCGGGCAUAUGUCAUUUUUGAAUAGUUUUGAAAAAUGUAUACUUUUUUUUUUUCGCAUCUGAACAACAAAGCUCUCUUGUUCCGUUCAGUCGAUAUUGUAACACCCGAAAUCGUAGAAUCAAGUCGAAAUUCGAGCGUGUCGAUUAAAUACGUACGUAGCGGCGGCGGCGGCGGCUGGUAAAGCAACCCAAUAGCAAUCAGGUAUUUAAAUUGACAUCAAACAGUGACAGAUUGACCACCUGACUUGGUGGAAAAUUCGUGAUAAUGCUGUUCGACGAUAAUCCAUUCAUUUUGAUCGAGUGACGAUUGACCGGAGAGUAAUUCCUAUCGCUUAGGACACGCGUAACCAAUAUAAAAGUUACUAAAAAAGUGCUGAAAGUUGAAUUAAAGAAAUUUUGUUAUUACCACUAA